GACGAACGCUGGCGGCGUGCUUAACACAUGCAAGUCGAACGGAAAGGCCCUGCUUUUGUGGGGUGCUCGAGUGGCGAACGGGUGAGUAACACGUGAGUAACCUGCCCUUGACUUUGGGAUAACUUCAGGAAACUGGGGCUAAUACCGGAUAGGAGCUCCUGCUGCAUGGUGGGGGUUGGAAAGUUUCGGCGGUUGGGGAUGGACUCGCGGCUUAUCAGCUUGUUGGUGGGGUAGUGGCUUACCAAGCCUUUGACGGGUAGCCGGCCUGAGAGGGUGACCGGCCACAUUGGGACUGAGAUACGGCCCAGACGCCUACGGGAGGCAGCAGUGGGGAAUAUUGCACAAUGGGCGGAAGCCUGAUGCAGAAACGCCGCGUGCGGGAUGACGGCCUUCGGGUUGUAAACCGCUUUCGCCUGUGACGAAGCGUGAGUGACGGUAAUGGGUAAAGAAGCACCGGCUAACUACGUG
Molecule: ribosomal RNA, 468 nt
Filed under: uncultured bacterium
Lineage: Bacteria
Description: partial 16S ribosomal RNA
Rfam family: Bacterial small subunit ribosomal RNA
Source: RNAcentral